GACGAACGCUGGCGGCGUGCUUAACACAUGCAAGUCGAACGGAAAGGCCCUGCUUUUGUGGGGUGCUCGAGUGGCGAACGGGUGAGUAACACGUGAGUAACCUGCCCUUGACUUUGGGAUAACUUCAGGAAACUGGGGCUAAUACCGGAUAGGAGCUCCUGCUGCAUGGUGGGGGUUGGAAAGUUUCGGCGGUUGGGGAUGGACUCGCGGCUUAUCAGCUUGUUGGUGGGGUAGUGGCUUACCAAGGCUUUGACGGGUAGCCGGCCUGAGAGGGUGACCGGGCACAUGGGGACUGAGGUACGGCGCAGACUCCUACGGGAGGCAGCAGUGGGGAAUAUUGCACAAUGGGCGGAAGCCUGAUGCAGCAACGCCGCGUGCGGGAUGACGGCCUUCGGGUUGUAAACCGCUUUCGCCUGUGACGAAGCGUGAGUGACGGUAAUGGGUAAAGAAGCACCGGCUAACUACGUG
This 468-nucleotide ribosomal RNA is filed under the name uncultured bacterium. Its description in RNAcentral is "partial 16S ribosomal RNA". It matches the Rfam family "Bacterial small subunit ribosomal RNA", at positions 28 to 507 of the family's 1533-position model. The record is from RNAcentral.